This 207-nucleotide ribosomal RNA is filed under the name uncultured bacterium. RNAcentral describes it as "partial 16S ribosomal RNA". It matches the Rfam family "Bacterial small subunit ribosomal RNA", at positions 568 to 774 of the family's 1533-position model. The record is from RNAcentral.
CGCGUAGGCGGCCGGUCAAGUUGGAUGUGAAAGCCCAGGGCUCAACCCUGGAACGGCAUUCAAAACUGGACGGCUUGAGACCGAGAGAGGAGAGUGGAAUACCCAGUGUAGAGGUGAAAUUCGUAGAUAUUGGGUGGAACACCGGUGGCGAAAGCGGCUUUCUGGCUCGGAUCUGACGCUGAGGCGCGAAAGCGUGGGGAGCAAACA